AGAUCUAGCGUCUUCGAUCAGCGAUUCGUUCGGAUUCCAAUUCAAACUGAUCGAGCAGUCGUUUGAAUUGGGAUUUGUCGAAUUGAGGGCCGAGAUGAAUAGAUCU
This 106-nucleotide microRNA precursor is filed under the name Fragaria vesca subsp. vesca. RNAcentral describes it as "Fragaria vesca miR11288c stem-loop (fve-MIR11288c)". Lineage: Eukaryota; Viridiplantae; Streptophyta; Magnoliopsida; Rosales; Rosaceae. The record is from miRBase by way of RNAcentral.